Molecule: RNA transcript, 8552 nt
Organism: Gambusia affinis (western mosquitofish)
Lineage: Eukaryota; Metazoa; Chordata; Actinopteri; Cyprinodontiformes; Poeciliidae
Gene: prom1a
Gene name: prominin 1a
Exons: 27
Source: RefSeq, a predicted model, not a curated record
GUGAAUCCCUGAAUUCUUGACCGCGGAUAGGCGGGAUAUUACGAUCAACACUGAAAUUCAAUACAGCGCUAAUGUCAAGUGUAGUGCUGUCUGGGCCCCCCUGUCGUAGGUGGACUCAGGCAGUUGUUCAGUUUGCUUUGUCUUGGGCCGGCUCUGACAGUAAUCUAUAUUCAUAAGCUUUGGAAAAUACAUUUUAUGGAAAGUGACCUAAAGGUAGAUUUAAUUACAUCUUGUUGGUACUCCCUUCAUCCAGCCUCCUUUUCCCGGCAGGAGGAGCGCUCCUCUCUGGAUUAUCCUCUGCACUGUCUGGAUGGCUGCGCACGACCCCGCCCGCUCCCGUGACGCAGCGCAUCUCUUUACGCGCAGAUGCUGGAGUCGAAGAGACAGGCGCGCACAUCUCUUAGGGCUGAGCACAUCCACUACCGGACACGGUAGAGGGAAGAUCAGCCGGUGUGCAUCCGACAGGGAUCCCCCGGACAGCGGGGUAGGAUGCUCAGAACGAGUCGCUCCGUGGGCAGCAGUACUUGAAGAGCUGCGGUCCAUCCACUGGAACGCUUUAAGAUUGAUCUCGAAUCAAUUCCUCUGGCUUUUUAAGAAACGCCACCGUCCAGUUUAGUAUCUAGAGCCAGUUGAGGGUAGAUCGGGGUUUGGCUUGGACACGAUGUGGAAGUCCGGGACACUACUGCUACUGUCGGUGCUGUGGGCGUCCGGUGAACUCCAGCAGGAGACAGAGCCGCGGAGGCUACCACCUCCGGGAAAGUUGGAUUUUGGUUAUGUGCCUGCGGGAGUUUACGAGACAUUGGCCCAUUACGAACCCGGACCCAUAGGGAUCCUCUUCCACUUGGUGCACGCUUUCCUGCAUGUGGUGCAACCCAACGCUUUCCCCCACGAUCUUAUUGUGAAGCUGGCAAAGGAGAAGUUUGGAGCCAUUCAAACAGAAUAUCAAAAGCCAGAGAACAUAGUGCUGACCCUGCAGGCCAUCUACUAUGAGAUAGGCUUCCUCAUAUGUGCAGCGGUGGGCCUGCUCUUCGCCAUCCUCAUGCCCAUUGUGGGGCUCUUCUUCUGCAUGUGCCGCUGCUGCGACAACUGCGGUGGUGAGAUGCACCAACGCCAGAGGAAGAACGCGGACUGCCAGCGCGGCCUGCUGGGAACGUUGCUCUUCUCCACCUCGUUGGUCAUCACGAUUGGAGUUCUGUGUGCGUAUGCAGCCAACCAGAACCUGAGCUCUCAGGUGAAGAACAUACGCCGACUGGUUAACAGCAACAUGAGGGACCUGCACACCUUUGCUAAUGACACACCAAUGCAAAUUGAUUACCUAAUAUCCCAAUACGCCACCGUCAAGAACAAAGUCAACUAUGACCUAGAUAACAUAGGUCCAUUACUCGGGGGAAGGAUACAUGUACGGUUAGAUAAAGAGGUCCAUCCUGCUUUAAACCAAGUGCUCAAUAUGGCUGGAGCCAUGAGGGAAACCAAGGAGGCCCUGGAGAACGUCAGUGUAUCUCUGGUGGUCUUACAGGAAGGAGCCGGAAAACUUCAUUUCAACCUGAGUCACGUCUGCGACAGCAUCAACCGCACACUGGAUGACUCCGGGUGUCAUGACGAGGAAUCGGACGCCACCACGGCCCAGCUUUGCCGCAGCAUCCGCCAGUCCCUGUCCCAGCUGCAGAUUAGUGCAAAUUUCACCCGGCUUCCGAAUGUGAACCCUCAGCUGGAAAAGAUGAAAAAUGUAGUGAAAACAGAUCUCAGCUCUGUCGUCCACAGGGGUUUUUCCUCUUUGAAUGACACACCACACAUUGUGAUUGAACAGACAAGAAGCGUUGUCAACAGUGUCCAGAAUUUAGUGGACAGUGUCGGCAACAACAUCAGCAGCUUCUCCAAAGCUUUCCCUUUGCAGACCUGCUUGUCUAACUUCACCAUCUUCAUCAGCCAUGCACACGCCAAAAUCGAAGACUACUAUCCUGAAGUGGAUAAAAUGGACUUCUACAGAUGGAUCGGCUGUAUCGCUCUGUGCUGCAUGGUGGUUCUGGUUUUGGCCUUUAACUAUUUGGGCCUUCUGUGCGGCACCCUGGGAUACGACAAGCAUGCCUCACCGACGACACGAGGAUGUAUCUCCAAUACAGGAGGAACACUGCUGAUGGCCGGUGUUGGAUUUAGCUUCAUUUUCUCCUGGAUGCUCAUGGGAGUGUUGACCACCAUCUUUCUGGCAGGAGGAAACAUGGAGAAACUUCUUUGUGAGCCAUUUCACACCAAAGAACUCUUCAAGGUCGUUGACACCCCAUACUUGAUCAAUCCAGAGUGGAAGAAUUUCAUUCCAGGCUACAUGUACAAUGACUCUGAACUGGAGCUGACAUCAGAAAGCUUGUACAGUACUUGCAAACAGAACAAAGGCAUCUACUCUGCCCUGCGUCUGGAUAAAGUCUUCAACAUCUCCUCGUUCCUGAACACCACAGUGUUCACUAAGGAUGUGGUGCGUCAGCUGGAGAACUUUCGGAUUGACCUGAGAGCGAUAAUCCUGUUAGAAGCAGAGGGGAAGCAGAACCUCCUAGAUUUCUCUGAAGCUGGCUUAUCAGAGAUCAACUACGCUGACUAUCUUGACGAGGUGAAUAAAGGAGUCACUGUGGUGGAUGUUCUCUCAUUCGCCAAAGAGCUGGAGUCCCAGACAGACCUGAUGCCCAGGGGACAUCUUCAGACAGCUCUGAAAGGCCAUGUGGCCACUCUGCAGCGGAUCCACAGACAACAGAUCGCUCCAAUGGAGCAGGCCAUGAAAUAUGUUAGAGCAAGGAGUGCUUUGAACCAGAGUAUGAGAUUCCUGGAGAGGACAGCUUCUGACCUCCCGAACAAAGUCACAGGUGUUCUUGAGGCCAUUGAAGCUGCAGAGCACCUCAUCUCCCAGAAUGCAACACUUUUAAUCAAUCAGGAAACAAGAAAAUACUCAGCAACCAUUAUUGGUUAUUUCAAUCAGUACAUAGAAUGGGUCAAAACAUCAUUGGCUUUGGAGGUUGCACCAUGCAAGCCCUUCAGCAACAUCUUGGAUACGGCGCAGAUCAUGACCUGCAGUUUCUUGGUGGAUUCUAUGAACACUUUCUGGAUGGGUCUGGGCUGCAGCACACUAUUCUUGCUCCCAAGCGUAAUACUAGCUGUGAAACUAGCCAAGUACUACCGCAGGAUGGACACAGAGGAUGUUUAUGACGACUCCUCUGUUUCUGGGACUUGGCAUUUUACUUUGUGAUAACCAUUCCUACUAUUUCCAUCAUGUCAUAUUUUUCAUUUUAUUUCUUCAUUCUUCUUUGUCAAGCACUUGGCACUUUACAAAGAAAAGACACUGAUAAAUAAGUCAAUUCUUAUUUCUUCUUCAUGGGCCUUUUUCAUGUUCAGACUGUGGACUCAUGGCUUUAUCUACAGUAGUAGUAAUUGUGAUAUCUCAGCUGAUCAACUGCAUCCCCCUCUGUGCAGUCAGUGCUGGAUUGCACAGAAGAACUUCUGAUGCAUUUCUUUUGCUGAAAAUCUCAAUAACAUUUUUAUGUUCCUGUUUUCUCUGUAUCUCCAUAGUGUUGAGACAAUUCCCAUGAAAAAGUAAGAUGUUCUUCCCCAACCUCCUUUUCAUUUUAACUUCUCUCACUCUGUGCUUUUUUCCCAAGUAAUGUAUAUAGAAAGCUGUUUACUAAAUUCUUGGUGCUCGUUUGCAUUUUUGAGCUUCAAAAUUGCUCAUGUGGGUGAACGAUGUGGCUUUUUGUCGUGUGCUAUGUUUAAGAAGUGCCCCUUACAGUACCUUUCAUGAAGGGCUCUUGCAAUCAUUAAAGUGUUUUUUGUAAAAAAAUAAAUAAAUAAAUUGUGUAAAUAGAACACUAAGGUUUAUACUCAGAACAUAUUCAUCUCCUGAUAUUGUUUAAAAAUUUAUCCACAUAUAAAGAAAACAUUUUUAUUCAGCAUGUCGCGUUUCUCAUUUUUCAUUCCAUUUUUGUUCACAAUGUUUUAUUUUCAGUAUGGAAAUUGGUAAUAAUGGUUAUCAUAGUGAGAGUUCACAAGGUAUUCCUAAUCCUAUGAUGACAAGGUAAACUUUCUAUUUAUCCUGCUAACUGCAUGUCAUGGUGGAGGUGGAUGCAUGCCUGGGAAGUUGGUUUUAUAUGUUAUAUGGCUGAACACAGUGCAUGCUUGCAGAGGGAGUCAUUUCAAGACACGCACUUGCAUAAGUGUGUGUGAUAUUAUAGAAGUGGUAGCUUUUAUUAGAAACAAUCUGGAAUCAUUUUUUUGGUGUCUGAUAAAAAGUGCUUUAAAAUAAAUUUCAGCAGUGGUUUAACAUUUGGGAUGGAGAUCAGAUCACAGCCCUACUGUUUCCUUUGAGGCUGAAAUAUGGAGCAGAAUAAAAAAACUGUUGGGUUAUUCAACUUGAAGACUGGGGAUUAUUGAAAAACAAAUACUAAUAAAGGUUUGUUAUAGAGAGUAUCUAAAGCUAAUAUGCAUAACUCUGUUAGAAGUGCCAUUUUCAUAAUCAACAUUUUAAAUAUUGCAACUUAAAGGACUGUAAUUGCAAUUGUUAUUUAGUCAAAACACUUGUUUAUCACAGUAAGCAAAAGUAAACUAGAGGCGAGUAUUAGAAAAAUAAGAGCUGGAACAUCUUGAUGGAGAAAAAGAAUUUUGUAUAAAAAAAAUUACAGUCUUUAGUCUGAGGAAAACCAUACCCUCACUUAAACUCUCUUUCAUCAAAGAGAAAUUAGGGUUUCAAUUCCCAAUAAUCAGUCAGAUUCUUCUACCUUCCAACAAUCAUAGGAGCCUUGAGGCUGAAGAAUCUGUCUGCUACCACUACUUCACUGUCAUGUUGAAAAUGUUCUGCUCGGUGCUUUUGAGGGAAUCUACCAUAUUACUAACCAACUGCUUUCUUUCUGAUGCUGGGAAAUUCCUGUGGAAUGAAAUGAAACCUUCUCCUGUUUCCUCUUGUUUAGUGUCGGCCAAAGUCCGAUGAAUGUACACCUGAUCAUUUUGUUCAGAGAGAGGCAAGCAUGUUGAGCUUUAGUGUGUCCCUGGAUAUGUUGCUAGUUUUGAUUUUCUUUUCUGAAUCUAACCAGAUGCUUAACUGCGUGUUUUAUCUUUUUAAGUUGCAUUUGGAUGCAGAUGAGUUUGCACAAACCAACAAGAUAAACACAGAGAGUAAAACAUCUAAAUGAGGACUUGCUCUGACUUGUUGCAGUUUGAAAAAAUAGGAGUUUCAUUUCCAGUUUGAACUUGCAAGAUUAAUACAACUUUUUUAUUAAACCUUGUCUUUCUAUUUGAGUUGCAUUAAGCUUUUGGAAUGAAACUCAUGCGUCAAUAGGACUUUAAUAAAAUUUAAAACCUGUUCUAAUUGAUCAACACUAAACUACUCUGUUUGCACAGUAAGCUACUCAGAGAAUGUUUUGCUCUCUGUUAUAUGAACUGCUCACCCUUUUCUGCUUGCCACCAAAAAGUAGUGGACGUAAAAUGUUGAGUCUGUCUGGUAACGUUUUUCCCUGCGUGUUUGUUCCUGUGAUGAUAGCGUCCCAACAUUUGAAACAAUAAACAGGUUUCCACGGGCCUCGGCUCCUCCGAGGCACAUCGACUGGUGAGAGUCAGCUCUAGCUUGGCUCCUGAAAGUGCCCUUGACAACUGGAACUAAACGUCAUGCUCACUUGAGGAAUCUCAAAAUACGCUGGUUUCUUCACUUCAAAAGAAGAACACGGAAGAUCCUGCUUGUUCAACGAUGCAGAUCAAAUUGUCCAGUUUGGUUUCUGCCGGCAGGACGCUAACCUCAUCAGCCCUCAGCAUCAAUCUGAGCCAGGUUUCAUCUACAUUUUCCAGGACUGUUGUGUCUGUGUUUACAUUUGUUUGGAUACAAAACCAAGCUGAAAAAGCCCUUGAGAGGACAUAACAUUGACUGUUGUGCUCAUUUUUAUGAACUUCGUGCUCAAGAAAAGAGAAGCUGGGAAAGUUAUAUUUUAUUUCUGCAGUUAAAAAGGGUGUUGCACUUUCAAAGUGAGUGUCAAAAGGCAGGUUUCAUAAAAAUCUGAUUGUUUCAUUGAAAAAAUGCAUCCUUUUUAUUAACUGAGACACAAGUGAGCUCAUGUAUGUGGGAUAUUUUACCUGUUGAGAAAAGGCUUGUGUGAACAGUGGCAUAACGACUUGUGGAGAGAAUUUGUAAGAAAACGGAGCAUAACUUUUUUUUUUUUUUUUUUUAAGGCUGUUUACAAUAUUUUCAGACAUGUUGGUUUUGUUGAUUUUUGGUGGCUAUGGGUCAAUUUCCCUCUUUGACUAUUCAUAACCUCAUUCAAAUUUUGCCAUUUUGUCCCCAAAUUCUUCAAUAUCUUACCUGUAAAUCACACUACUUGUAUCCCUUUGUUCAAAUCUCAGGAAUAAUUCAAUAACAAAGAUAGAAUUUUAUUUCUUAAAAAAAAUACAUAUAUUGCACCCCUUUUUCAUUGGUUUGGACUCUGAUAUCUGCUUGGACCUGUCCCAUUAGAGGCACAUUACAAAAAAGAUUUUUUACAGUAGAAGCAAAAUACCAAAAAUGACUUCGACUCAGUGGUCAAAUUGGGUAUUAAAUGUCUCCUGACUGAAUGUUGGUAUGCAACAUCCAAUGACAGAUGUUGCAUACAAACAUUUGUUGCAUUACAACAACAGAUGUUGCCUUUGUUGGUAUGCAACAACUAUUCAGCGUGAAAAAGGCAAAAGUGGAAAAGUAUGAAAUGACAAAGGGGCAACAUGACCCACCUGUAUGUGAGAAACACUGAAGAGGACUGUCUGCCUUUGAGAUGUUUUACCAUGACGUUACAGUUAAAAAAGGCCAUAUCACUAUGUUAAACAUAACAUAGUGUACCAUUGUACCACUGUACCAUUUAAACUUGUGUCAGGUGUUAACAUUUAGCAUUUAUUUAUAAUUCAGAGCGGUAAAUUGUUCUAAAGCGAUUCUUCUACUUGGAGUUUUAAAUACCAAAUCUCAGAAUUAUUUUUGAAGAGUGGGUUUAGAAAAAAAACACAAAUUCUUGAAGCAAGGGACACAUAUGACCAAUCAUCUUCCUUUAUUAUUGUAAAAAAAAAAAAAAUCCCAUCACAACCACACUGUAACACCAAAUGACAAAUUCUUACCAAAUGCAAGGCCGAUGUGUUGAACUAUCCAUUAAAAUAAUGCAGUACAGUUGGAGAAUAAUAGUAAAAAUAACAUCUACUUCUAUUUCCUCUAUGUACCACAUGUGUUUAUUUUCAGAUCUUUCCUGCUUUAUGGUACUCAUAAUUUUAAAGUGGAAAGUUAACUCUCAAGCCAAAUCCCAUAUUUUUAAAUAGUCUUUCUGUGGCACGCUUUUUCCCCUUUGCCUGCUUUUUUGUUAAACAGUACUUCUGAAUACAUGGAACUUUUGAAUGUGUUCUUUCAUUAAUCAUUGUUAUAUGUGGAGGUUGAGUGAGAAAUAUGCUGAUAUUGUUACAUCAGGGAGGCCAAUCAACAUAUCCUAUAUCUCAUAUUUCUAUACAGAUGUUUUCUCCAGUGAGACCUUAGACAAUCCAUUUAUGGGACAAAUGAGCACCAUUAAUCAGAUUGUUGAAAAGACAUAUUGUUCAUGAUUUACCCAGAUCUGGUUUAUGUGGACUGUGAAAAAAGCAAUACCUGCCUUAGCAACCAAAAUUUGGAUUUUGUUUGUCACUGUAAAUGCACAAUAACUAUGAACAUUUACCAGCUAGUAGAUUAUAUAAUGUGCAUAUGUAAAGACUAACAAAAGUCAGUUUUUAUGUGAUUAAAAAAAAAUCAGAUUUUCUUUAAACUGUAAUGGUAACAGCUGGUCUAAAUUUAAUACUUUAUCCAUAAUUUUUAUAUUAUAUUUGUUUUAUACUCCAACAAAUCCAUUUUAAAUCCAAGUUUGUUAUUGUUUUUAAAAGACAAAGUCCAUGGGCUUGAAUAAAAACAAACAAAAACAACGUGUCAGUUAAGAAGUCGCUAAAGAGAGUACUAACAUUUAACAACUUUUAAUAAGGUUACCAUGACAAGGAUUAAAAAUUAACUCAUUUUUGUAGAUUUUUGUGCACAUUUGACUUCUAUAAAGCCAAUAACUGUAAUUUGCAGUAGAAGUACUGAAAAUGUUUACCAACGGUUUACAAGUUAUGCUCUGCUACACUGACUUUACACACUAUUUUCAUACAUUUUAUUUCUCCAAAGGAAACACUGACUGCCAUGUUAAAAUGUCCCAGCUGUGCUUUUCCAUAAUGUGAAUUUAUUGGCUUUGUCUCUUCCCAGCGUUCUCUUUUUUUGCUUACUUCAUUUACAAACGUAGUUUUCCUCAAGGUGGACGUUUUUAGAUGAUUGGUGUGCUCAUGUUGACUAUCACAGUUUUACUCCUUGCUGGAGUUUGGUAAUACAUUUAUGGGGACAAAUUCACAACUUAAGUGCUUAAACUAGGUAUAUACGAUAGCUUUGGGUUGAUCCGAUGAAUGGGUCGCUGGUUUUAAAUGUGAUGCUGAACAGUUGGGUGAUGAUGGAUCCAGGAAGAUUCUUGUUUUUUAUGUGGAUAUGAUAAAAGUGUAUAAAUUGUGAAUAAACUCUCCAUUUCAAAUUA